GAUGAAGAACGUAGCGAAAUGUGAUAAGUAAUGUGAAUUGCAGAAUUCAGUGAAUCAUCGAAUCUUUGAACGCACAUUGCGCCCGCCAGUAUUCUGGCGGGCAUGCCUGUUCGAGCGUCAUUACAACCCUCAGGCCCCCGGGCCUGGCGUUGGGGAUCGGCGGAGCCCCCCGUGGGCACACGCCGUCCCCCAAAUACAGUGGCGGUCCCGCCGCAGCUUCCAUCGCGUAGUAGCUAACACCUCGCGACUGGAGAGCGGCGCGGCCACGCCGUAAAACACCCAACUCUUCUGAAGUUGACCUCGAAUCAGGUAGGAAUACCCGCUGAACUUAAGCAUAUCAAUAAGCGGAGGA
Molecule: unclassified non-coding RNA, 352 nt
Filed under: soil metagenome
Description: partial contains 5.8S ribosomal RNA, internal transcribed spacer 2, and large subunit ribosomal RNA
Rfam family: 5.8S ribosomal RNA (bases 1-120)
Source: RNAcentral